GUGGGGAAUCUUAGACAAUGGGGGAAACCCUGAUCUAGCCAUGCCGCGUGAGCGAUGAAGGCCUUAGGGUUGUAAAGCUCUUUCAGCUGGGAAGAUAAUGACUGUACCAGCAGAAGAAGCCCCGGCUAACUCCGUGCCAGCAGCCGCGGUAAUACGGAGGGGGCUAGCGUUGUUCGGAAUUACUGGGCGUAAAGCGCACGUAGGCGGACCGGAAAGUCAGAGGUGAAAUCCCAGGGCUCAACCUUGGAACUGCCUUUGAAACUCCUGGUCUUGAGGGCGAGAGAGGUGAGUGGAAUUCCGAGUGUAGAGGUGAAAUUCGUAGAUAUUCGGAGGAACACCAGUGGCGAAGGCGGCUCACUGGCUCGAUACUGACGCUGAGGUGCGAAAGCGUGGGGAGCAAACAGGAUUAGAAACCCGUGUAGUCC
RNAcentral lists this ribosomal RNA (425 nucleotides) under uncultured bacterium. RNAcentral's name for it is "partial 16S ribosomal RNA". It matches the Rfam family "Bacterial small subunit ribosomal RNA", at positions 354 to 796 of the family's 1533-position model. The record is from RNAcentral.